RNAcentral lists this ribosomal RNA (430 nucleotides) under uncultured archaeon. RNAcentral describes it as "bacterial SSU rRNA". It matches the Rfam family "Archaeal small subunit ribosomal RNA", at positions 398 to 827 of the family's 1478-position model. The record is from RNAcentral.
CAGUCCUCGCUAUUGUGUACCGUAGGGUGGUACACGACCAAGAGCUGGGCAAGACCGGUGCCAGCCGCCGCGGUAAUACCGGCAGCUCGAGUGAUGGCCGAUUUUAUUGGGCCUAAAGCGUCCGUAGCUGGCCCUGCAAGUCCGUCGGGAAAUCCACUCGCCUAACGAGUGGGCGUCCGGCGGAAACUACAGGGCUUGGGACCGGAAGACUUGAGGGGUACGUCUGGGGUAGGAGUGAAAUCCUGUAAUCCUGGACGGGCCGCCGAUGGCGAAAGCACCUCAAGACGACGGAUCCGACAGUGAGGGACGAAAGCUAGGGUCUCGAACCGGAUUAGAUACCCGGGUAGUCCUAGCCGUAAACGAUGUUCGCUAGAUGUGGCACAGGCUACGUGCCUGUGCUGUGUCGUAGGGAAGCCGAGAAGCGAACCGC